Molecule: long non-coding RNA, 924 nt
Filed under: Triticum aestivum (bread wheat)
Lineage: Eukaryota; Viridiplantae; Streptophyta; Magnoliopsida; Poales; Poaceae
Description: long non-coding RNA (TAES_LNC007953)
Source: RNAcentral
CCAUUAUAUACUAAAUCUUUUGCUCAAAUCUGUAAAUAGACUUUACCCAGCCAGUAUGCUAAGAAAUAUCUUGGUGAGGAGCCACGCCUGUAUCUUCAGUUGCUUGGAGAGAAGUGGGAGGUGGGGUUUCCUGACAACACCGGCGAUAGAAGGAUCGUAAGUGGAUGGAAACAGUUUGUACAAGAUAACAAUCUGAAGAUGGGUGAUAUCUGCCUCUUCGAGCUGCUGAGCAAUCAGAAGAGAACUAUGGAGGUCUAUAUCAUCCCUGCAAAUGAAUACAAUUACUCGGCAGGUGUCCAGAAUAAUGUGGACCAGGAAACGCUCGAAGGUGGUUCAGCGGCGCUGCAGAGAGAGGCCCUUGCUCAUCAUGCGGAUGGAGCGCGUGAUCCUGACUCAAGGUUGCUUCGCAUCACCAACACUGAUGCUAUGGAAGAUGAUGUUACCUCUGUUGGUGCCUGAUCGCCGAAGGAAAAGCCUGUGGUUUCUGAACCAAGCAUACCUGCUGUUCUUGCGCUCUGGGGAAAACAAGCGUUCACAUCGAUCAUAAGGGCUCGGUUACAUUGUCGAAAGUUGAAACUGUUCUGCUACCUGCGUAUUUUCUUCGUUCUGGUAGCAGGCCAGUCAUGCACGCGGACUGGAACUCCCCUAGCUGUAGUUUUAGCUGCUUUUUAGUUUCCUUUUUGCACCUCUGGAUGCUGCUUUUGUGGUCGCGGUUUAUUUCGUUAUCGUGAUGAUAGUGGAGUCCGGUCCUAUGCGGCCCUUUGGAAAAGAAAAAAAAGAACGCCAAUUGAAUGAUAUGCUUUCAUGUUGGUUCGUGAAUUCCCUGGUCUGAUGGAGGUAGACUGGUAACGCUUUCAUGUUGGUGGUAGUGCUUUUGUUGUUGGUUCGUGAAUCGCUAGCAAUGGUAACCACUAACCACAGGAG